Molecule: ribosomal RNA, 1333 nt
Filed under: Demequina sp.
Lineage: Bacteria; Bacillati; Actinomycetota; Actinomycetes; Micrococcales; Demequinaceae
Description: bacterial SSU rRNA
Rfam family: Bacterial small subunit ribosomal RNA
Source: RNAcentral
UGCCCCAAACUCUGGGAUAAGCCUUGGAAACGAGGUCUAAUACCGGAUAAGCGGCACCACCGCAUGGUGAGUGUUGGGAAAGAUUUUUUGGUCUGGGAUGGACUCGCGGCCUAUCAGCUUGUUGGUGAGGUAAUGGCUCACCAAGGCGACGACGGGUAGCCGGCCUGAGAGGGCGACCGGCCACACUGGAACUGAGACACGGUCCAGACUCCUACGGGAGGCAGCAGUGGGGAAUAUUGCACAAUGGGCGAAAGCCUGAUGCAGCGACGCCGCGUGGGGGAUGAAGGCCUUCGGGUUGUAAACCCCUUUCAGCAGGGAAGAAGCGAAAGUGACGGUACCUGCAGAAGAAGCGCCGGCUAACUACGUGCCAGCAGCCGCGGUAAUACGUAGGGCGCAAGCGUUGUCCGGAAUUAUUGGGCGUAAAAGAGCUCGUAGGCGGCUUGUCGCGUCUGCUGUGAAAGCACGAGGCUCAACCUCGUGUCUGCAGUGGGUACGGGCAGGCUAGAGUGUGGUAGGGGAGACUGGAAUUCCUGGUGUAGCGGUGGAAUGCGCAGAUAUCAGGAGGAACACCGAUGGCGAAAGGCAGGUCUCUGGGCCACUACUGACGCUGAGGGAGCGAAAAGCGUGGGGAAGCGAAACAAGGAAUUAGAUACCCUGGUAGUCCACGCCGUAAAACGGGUGGGGCACUAGAUGUGGGGGCUUUAUUCCAUGAGUUUCCGCGUCGCAGCUAAACGCAUUAAGUGCCCCCGCCUGGGGAGUACGGCCGCCAAGGCUAAAACUCAAAGGAAUUGACGGGGGCCCGCCACAAGCGGCGGAGCAUGCGGAUUAAUUCGAAUGCAACGCGAAGAACCUUUACCCAAGGCUUGACAUAUACGGUCUAAUCCCUAAGAAGAAUAAGGGAGUGAUUUUUUUCCGCCCGUAAUACCAGGUGGUUGCAUUGAAUUGUCGUCCAGCCUCGUGUCCGAUGAAGAAUGUUUGGAGUUUAAAAGUCCCCCGCAAACGAGCGCAACCCUCUUCCUAUGUUGCCAGCACGUGAUGGUGGGGACUCAUAGGAGACUGCCGGGGUCAACUCGGAGGAAGGUGGGGAUGACGUCAAAUCAUCAUGCCCCUUAUGUCUUGGGCUUCACGCAUGCUACAAUGGCCGGUACAAAGGGCUGCGAUACCGUAAGGUGGAGCGAAUCCCAAAAAGCCGGUCUCAGUUCGGAUUGAGGUCUGCAACUCGACCUCAUGAAGUUGGAGUCGCUAGUAAUCGCAGAUCAGCAACGCUGCGGAGAAUACGUACUCUGGCCUUGUACCCCCCCCCCGUAAGGUGUAUAAAGGGUAUUGUAUAGUG